CGUGCCGUCCACCGAACGGUCGGCAGGCGAUCCGCGUCGGUCGCGCUGGGUGGUAUGGUUCCCCAGAGGCCGGUUCUUGUGCUGCCUACCCCUUCAGGGGAAGAGUUCCAAACUCGAUGUAAGCCUCCAUCCGGCGCCCUCCAAAGGGCGCGGGAGGACAACGGAGCACCCCCCGCGUUCCACCGAGCCUCCUCGGUCGCGUGGCCCGCGGGGACGUGCGAUGCUCUCGGACCCAGCGAACGCCGUGGGCGAGGACUCACGUCCCGGUCCCAAGUGAAGCAACGGUAUAACGCGGACGGCCGCUCCCGCCCCCCGACCGCCCCGGCGGCGCGGGGGCGAAGGCGCGGCGUCGCUGAGGAAUGCUACCU
Molecule: unclassified non-coding RNA, 368 nt
Filed under: Acacia irrorata subsp. velutinella
Lineage: Eukaryota; Viridiplantae; Streptophyta; Magnoliopsida; Fabales; Fabaceae
Description: partial external transcribed spacer
Source: RNAcentral